This 503-nucleotide ribosomal RNA is filed under the name uncultured bacterium. Its description in RNAcentral is "bacterial SSU rRNA". It matches the Rfam family "Bacterial small subunit ribosomal RNA", at positions 29 to 523 of the family's 1533-position model. The record is from RNAcentral.
AGUGAACGCUGGCGGUAGGCCUAACACAUGCAAGUCGAACGGCAGCACAGGAGAGCUUGCUCCCUGGGUGGCGAGUGGCGGACGGGUGAGGGAAUACAUCGGAAUCUACUCUGUCGUGGGGGAUAACGUAGGGAAACUUACGCUAAUACCGCAUACGACCUACGGGUGAAAGUGGGGACCGCAAGGCCUCACGCGAUUGAAUGAGCCGAUGUCGGAUUAGCUAGUUGGCGGGGUAAAGGCCCACCAAGGCGACGAUCCGUAGCUGGUCUGAGAGGAUGAUCAGCCACACUGGAACUGAGACACGGUCCAGACUCCUACGGGAGGCAGCAGUGGGAAUAUGGACAAUGGGCGCAAGCCUGAUCCAGCCAUACCGCGUGAGUGAAGAAGGCCCUCGGGUUGUAAAGCUCUUUUGUGGUAAAGAAAUCCUGUUGGCUAAUACCCGGCGGGAUGACGGUACCCAAAGAAGUAAGCACCGGCUAACUUCGUGCCAGCAGCCGCGGUAA